GACGAACCGUGCGAACGUUGUUCGGAAUCACUGGGCUUAAAGGGCGCGUAGGCGGGGGAGCAAGUCUGGGGUGAAAUCUUUCGGCUCAACCGGAAAAUGGCCUUGGAUACUGCUUCUCUUGAGGAAUGUAGGGGUCGAUGGAACUUCCGGUGGAGCGGUGAAAUGCGUAGAUAUCGGAAGGAACGCCGGUGGCGAAAGCGGUCGACUGGACAUUUUCUGACGCUGAGGCGCGAAAGCCAGGGUAGCGAACGGG
RNAcentral lists this ribosomal RNA (253 nucleotides) under uncultured bacterium. RNAcentral's name for it is "partial 16S ribosomal RNA". It matches the Rfam family "Bacterial small subunit ribosomal RNA", at positions 524 to 776 of the family's 1533-position model. The record is from RNAcentral.